UACAGAGGGUGCAAGCGUUAAUCGGAAUUACUGGGCGUAAAGCGUGCGUAGACGGUUAUGUAAGUCAGGUGUGAAAGCCCCGGGCUCAACCUGGGAAUGGCAUUUGAGACUGCAUAGCUAGGGUGCGGAAGAGGGAAGCGGAAUUUCCGGUGUAGCGGUGAAAUGUGUAGAUAUCGGAAGGAACAUCAGUGGCGAAAGCGGCUUCCUGGUCCAGCACCGACGUUCAGGCACGAAAGCGUGGGGAGCAAACAGG
RNAcentral lists this ribosomal RNA (253 nucleotides) under uncultured bacterium. RNAcentral's name for it is "partial 16S ribosomal RNA". It matches the Rfam family "Bacterial small subunit ribosomal RNA", at positions 524 to 776 of the family's 1533-position model. The record is from RNAcentral.